UGCUUUUAUAACAUGAGCCAUUAUGAAGAAGAGGAAACUGGAAAUCGGCUUGCUUUAUGGGAGGAUUUUGAGUUGAGAGGAUUCCUGCCACUUCUUCCUGCACAAACCAUUUUGGACUUUUCAAGGAAGCACUCUUUCGGAAGUGAAGGCAGUAAGGAAAGGAUAGCUCGUGUUAAAAGGAUUCUAGCUGCUGGAAGGGCUUUAGCAAAUAUAGCUAGGAUUGAUCAAAAAACAGUAUUUUAUGAUUCAAGGAUGAAGAAAUUU
RNAcentral lists this unclassified non-coding RNA (264 nucleotides) under Hevea brasiliensis (rubber tree). The record is from RNAcentral. Lineage: Eukaryota; Viridiplantae; Streptophyta; Magnoliopsida; Malpighiales; Euphorbiaceae.